CAUUAGUUAACUACAAAAACAGUCUUCAUUUGAGGUUACAACGUCUGCUUUCAAAGUGUUAAACUUACAAAAUAAUAAAAAUAAUAUUAAUUUUUUGAUUCCAAACAAAGAAGCAUUAUAAUAAUAAAACAAAAUGCCUUGCCCAUGUGGAACCGGUUGUCAAUGUGGCACUCAGCCAAAGAGCGGUAAUUGCGGCUGUGGCGCGGCUUGCAAGUGCUGUCCCUGCGGAAGCGGUUGCAAGUGCGGUUCACAAACUCAGAGUGGCAGCUGUGGUUGCGGCAGUGGCUGUAAGUGUGGACAAUAAGAACACACAGUAAUCAAUUUCUAAUAAUGUACCGUAAUGUUUCACAAUAAAAAUA
RNA transcript from Bactrocera dorsalis (oriental fruit fly), 359 nucleotides. RefSeq lists it as uncharacterized. NCBI's taxonomy places the organism in Eukaryota, Metazoa, Arthropoda, Insecta, Diptera, Tephritidae. The transcript has 3 exons. The record is from RefSeq and is a predicted model, not a curated record.